Molecule: long non-coding RNA, 2089 nt
Organism: Spinacia oleracea (spinach)
Lineage: Eukaryota; Viridiplantae; Streptophyta; Magnoliopsida; Caryophyllales; Amaranthaceae
Exons: 4
Source: RefSeq, a predicted model, not a curated record
GUUUAUCAAUUGUGUAAUCUGGAUUCAAUUUUGUUCUAUAAACCCAUUUUGAACCAAUAGCCUUUUUGUCCUUGGGUAGCACAGUAAGAUCCCAAGUAUUAUUGCUCUCAAGAGCUUCUAUUUCCUUGUCCAUAGCCAAGAUCCAAUUUUCAUCAUCCUUAGCUUGAUUGUAAUGUUGAGGAUCAGAAGAAGUGGAGCAUACAGAGAAAGCAAGAGAAUCCCAAACAUCAAAGUUAUGAAGAGCUAAAUCAAGUAACCAAUUAAAUUCAGUUGAAGCUGUAUGAGUGAUGUGAGGCAGAAUAGAAUCAGCAGAAAAUGACAAAGAUUCACUGUCAUUAGGAGCAGCCAAAGAAGUUCUAUGAGGUACAUAACCUCCUACAAAAUCAGUAAGAACUGAAGAUGGUUUGAUCUGUCUGGUAGAUUGUCUGGUAGUUGGAUUUGAAGGUAGAGUAAUUGUAUUAGAAGGUGGAUGAGAAUGGUCAGAUUCUAAAGAAUUAGAAGGAAAAGAAGGAGAAGAAUGUGUGUUUGGGGGAUCAGAAUGUAUAGAGUGAUUGGAAAGAGUUGGAGAUGACUGAGAGAUAAUAGGAGAGUUGGGAGAAUUAAUUGAAUGAUCAGAGUCAUUGGUGUGAUUUGGAAGAAUAACAGUACUAUCAGUACCAAAAUGAACUAGAGAAGGAGGAUUAAUGACAGGAAUAGAAUCAGGUUUAAGACCAUAUGGGAAAAUUGUCUCAAAAAAUAUCACAUCCCUGGAUAUAAACACCUUGUGAGUAUCAAGAUCAUAAAGUUUGAAACCUUUGUAGCCAGCAGGAUAUCCAAUAAACAAACACCUUUUUGCCCUUGAAUCAAAUUUGUCCCUACCAAUAUGAUUAUUGUGAGCAAAACACAAGCAACCAAACACCCUUAAGGCAUCAUAUGCAGGAGGUUUAUUGAACAAUACCUCAAAAGGAGUUUUCAAACCCAAAAGUUUAGAAGGAAUUUUGUUGAUUAGGUGAGUAGCAGCAAGUAUACAUUCUCCCCAGAAUUUUUUAGGAAGACCUGCAUGAAACUGUAAUCCCCCGUAAUUUUAUACAUUUUAUUAAUAUAUUUUAACGUAUAAGUAAUUAUAUUAAAAUAGAAUUUACGAAUUUUGAAAUAAAUAUUUAAGUAACGAAUAUUUAUUUUUUAUACGUUUUAAAUAUUUCAACGAUUUAUGAAAUUAAAAUAAUUUUAGAACUUUUGUUGAAAAGAAAUCGAAUUACGAAAACCGUUUGAAGUUGGAAAACAAUCCUAAUUGGUUUUGGAUUCAAAUACUUAAACUCAAUCCUAGUUCUAGCCCAAAUUGAUAAAGCCCAAAUAACAAAAACUCAAAUUCUUUACUCCCUCCUCUUUCUAUUUCACGUGAAACCAAAAACACCAAAACCCUCAAACCUUGCUUCCUCCUUCACGUGAACCUGCAGCCCUCACCUCCUUCAGCGUCGCACAGCCGCCGCACCAGCCACUGCCUGGCCGCCGUCGUUGCUAGGCCACCACCUCCUCCGUCGAUCGCCACCACCACACGCCGCUAGCCUUGCCGCCGCCUGUCACUGCUGCCACGCUUCCCAACCUCCGGCGGUCUCCCUCCUUUCUCCUCCACGCACGCAACAAGCUUCCCCUUUCUUCUUUUCUUGCUUCACCAUCAGCACAACCACCACCGUCGCUGCCACCUGACAGUCGUGCCGCACCGCACUCCUGCGCCCGUGCUGCACCGCCGUGGCCGCCGUCGCUCCCUGCCCAGCCGGCGCCCUUGCUCUUCACUCUCUUCUUGAUUUGGCGGAGAAUUCUCUUUAGGCGACUUUUGAAAGUGUUAAAGUGGCCUAUCAGUUUGUUUACACAAGUCUCUAAGGAUCAAUAAGCGUUGCCCAUCUACAGGUUUGAAGAUGAUGCAUCAUUGGGAUCGGGAUUAGAGAGCUUAUAGUUCUAUUUGUUUAAUUAAGUGAUUUAAUUUGUUAACUUGGAUUUGAAAUUUGUCGUACUAUUUAUAUUUCCUUAUUUUCGUUUAUUGGUUUUGGGAUUAAACCUGUAAUCAAUUACCUAUAAACCUCAAAUUAGUUUUAUGUUUUCCGCUGCAAAA